GUCGAGCGGAGAGAGGUAGCUUGCUACUGAUCUUAGCGGCGGACGGGUGAGUAAUGCUUAGGAAUCUGCCUAUUAGUGGGGGACAACAUUUCGAAAGGAAUGCUAAUACCGCAUACGUCCUACGGGAGAAAGCAGGGGAUCUUCGGACCUUGCGCUAAUAGAUGAGCCUAAGUCGGAUUAGCUAGUUGGUGGGGUAAAGGCCUACCAAGGCGACGAUCUGUAGCGGGUCUGAGAGGAUGAUCCGCCACACUGGGACUGAGACACGGCCCAGACUCCUACGGGAGGCAGCAGUGGGGAAUAUUGGACAAUGGGCGCAAGCCUGAUCCAGCCAUGCCGCGUGUGUGAAGAAGGCCUUAUGGUUGUAAAGCACUUUAAGCGAGGAGGAGGCUACUUUAGUUAAUACCUAGAGAUAGUGGACGUUACUCGCAGAAUAAGCACCGGCUAACUCUGUGCCAGCAGCCGCGGUAAUACAGAGGGUGCAAGCGUUAAUCGGAUUUACUGGGCGUAAAGCGCGCGUAGGCGGCUAAUUAAGUCAAAUGUGAAAUCCCCGAGCUUAACUUGGGAAUUGCAUUCGAUACUGGUUAGCUAGAGUGUGGGAGAGGAUGGUAGAAUUCCAGGUGUAGCGGUGAAAUGCGUAGAGAUCUGGAGGAAUACCGAUGGCGAAGGCAGCCAUCUGGCCUAACACUGACGCUGAGGUGCG
RNAcentral lists this ribosomal RNA (700 nucleotides) under Acinetobacter sp. MJ612. Its description in RNAcentral is "bacterial SSU rRNA". It matches the Rfam family "Bacterial small subunit ribosomal RNA", at positions 61 to 755 of the family's 1533-position model. The record is from RNAcentral. Lineage: Bacteria; Pseudomonadati; Pseudomonadota; Gammaproteobacteria; Moraxellales; Moraxellaceae.